GAACUAUGGUAUGUGGACUUUCAACAUGCCUAAAAUUGGUUUGCAGGCACUUUGAAAGGGCUUCUUUUUGCCUGCUCUUCCAACAGCGUGCUGACAUUUUAGCAUUAGUGGCUCUGUCAGAGUGUGAAAGAAUCAACCCUUACCGUCCCCCCAUA
Molecule: long non-coding RNA, 155 nt
Organism: Pundamilia nyererei
Lineage: Eukaryota; Metazoa; Chordata; Actinopteri; Cichliformes; Cichlidae
Exons: 3
Source: RefSeq, a predicted model, not a curated record